Molecule: ribosomal RNA, 468 nt
Filed under: uncultured bacterium
Lineage: Bacteria
Description: partial 16S ribosomal RNA
Rfam family: Bacterial small subunit ribosomal RNA
Source: RNAcentral
GACGAACGCUGGCGGCGUGCUUAACACAUGCAAGUCGAACGGAAAGGCCCUGCUUUUGUGGGGUGCUCGAGUGGCGAACGGGUGAGUAACACGCGAGUAACCUGCCCUUGACUUUGGGAUAACUUCAGGAAACUGGGGCUAAUACCGGAUAGGAGCUCCUGCUGCAUGGUGGGGGUUGGAAAGUUUCGGCGGUUGGGGAUGGACUCGCGGCUUAUCAGCUUGUUGGUGGGGUAGUGGCUUACCAAGGCUUUGACGGGUAGCCGGCCUGAGAGGGUGACCGGCCACAUUGGGACUGAGAUACGGCCCAGACUCCUACGGGAGGCAGCAGUGGGGAAUAUUGCACAAUGGGCGGAAGCCUGAUGCGGCAACGCCGCGUGCGGGAUGACGGCCUUCGGGUUGUAAACCGCUUUCGCCUGUGACGAAGCGUGAGUGACGGUAAUGGGUAAAGAAGCACCGGCUAACUACGUG